GAUGAAGAACUUAGCGAAAUGCGAUAAGUAAUGUGAAUUGCAGAAUUCAGUGAAUCAUCGAAUCUUUGAACGCACAUUGCGCCCGCCAGUAUUCUGGCGGGCAUGCCUGUUCGAGCGUCAUUUCAACCAUCAAGCCCCCGGGCUUGUGUUGGGGUCCUGCGGCUGCCGCAGGCCCUGAAAAGCAGUGGCGGGCUCGCUGUCACACCGAGCGUAGUAGAUUUUAUCUCGCUCAGGGCGUGCUGCGGGUUCCGGCCGUUAAACCACCUUCAUAACCCAAGGUUGACCUCGGAUCAGGUAGGAAGACCCGCUGAACUUAAGCAUAUCAAUAAGCGGAGGA
This 337-nucleotide unclassified non-coding RNA is filed under the name soil metagenome. RNAcentral's name for it is "partial contains 5.8S ribosomal RNA, internal transcribed spacer 2, and large subunit ribosomal RNA". The stretch from base 1 to 120 matches the Rfam family "5.8S ribosomal RNA", at positions 35 to 154 of the family's 154-position model. The record is from RNAcentral.